This 77-nucleotide transfer RNA is filed under the name Clostridiaceae bacterium. RNAcentral's name for it is "tRNA-Ala". It matches the Rfam family "tRNA". Rfam says of the family: Transfer RNA (tRNA) molecules are approximately 80 nucleotides in length. The record is from RNAcentral. Lineage: Bacteria; Bacillati; Bacillota; Clostridia; Eubacteriales; Clostridiaceae.
GGGGAAUUAGCUCAGUUUGGGAGAGCGCCUGAAUGGCAUUCAGGAGGUCGUGGGUUCGAGCCCCAUAUUCUCCACCA